CAUGAGCCUAAUGGGUCAUAUCUGAGCCCGGGUCAAUUGUACCCGACCCGGUCCGUUUCAUCUUAAUUAUGUAAGUAUGGGAAGCUUCUGGACAGACAUCACUUUUACUUUUCUCUUUUCCCAAUAACCGACUCUUCGGUUCUCUAAAACUCUCUUCCUUCUCUCUACUUUCUCUCUCUAGUUUCUCUGUGAUUUUAUCGAUUAAUCUGAACAUUUACAACCAAUUCAUAGGCAUCUAGCAUAUAUGAAUGUAACCAGCAGCUACAAUAAAAGAAAUGAGUGAUGGAUCCAAAUAUAAUAAGAGCCAUCACCUUCUAUAUUAACUCAUCCCAAUCCUGAGUGGCAGCCAGUAGCAAGAAUAUUUAAACUAUAAUUUUCAUGGAAACAUGCCUAGAAUCUAAUAAGUUUCCCCAAAGGCAAAGAAUCAGUGCACCCAUCAAACGCAAUAACCAAAUUGUCAAAUGACUAGAGUGGAAAGCAAAUUCUAGUUGUGAUUAAAGAAGCUUUAAGGAAAUCAUCAGAGGCACUGGUUUAAAACACAGAACUGGAACUUCAGUUUUUGCAGAGAGAUAGAUGAGAUUCAAUCAAUUUCACAUAGAAAAAGAAGCGUGCUAAGUACUAAUGUGUUUACACCAGCUCUUCUAUUUGAUUAACAAUUGUAAAAUCAAGCAAUCCUUAGUUAUCAUGUAACUACUCAGCAAAUCACAACCACGGUAAACUAACAAUACAGAGUUUGCUCCCAAAAUGUGUAGAUAUGCUGCCUAACAGUAUAAGACAGGGCAAAUUUUAACAUGUCUAACGGUCCGGACAAUUGCCUAAAAUACUGCAGAUGAUUGGCUCGAUUUACUGCCCCAAAUUGAUUGUCUUCAUCAUCUCAAAUGAGCAUAAUUUACCAUGGCAAUAACAUUGCAGAUAGAUUUUCGAACAGGAGAAGGAAAACAAGACAGAUCCGAACACUUACGCUUAAUGAAACAAUUCGAUUUAGACACUAUUUAAACCAUGAUCUAAUAAGAAGAAAUCAUUGGGCAACUCCAAAUUCACCCGUUAACUAGUUACACCUAAAUUCUAAUGCGAGGAAUUAUGCCGAACACAAAGACGAGUUAAACAGUCCACUAAGCUCGAACCAAAGAGAGUGCAACAGAUUUACCCAUGGCAAAAACUAGUAGCAAACCAACAUUUUCAAGUAAUUGAACUAAACGACAGUAAACCGAAGACAACCAGGAAGAUUCCCAUGACAUAUUUCAUGCCGUGUCUCAUUAGAGAACAUCAAACUGGUACACCAUGAGCUCGCGCUCAUGUCCACAGUCCCACAGUCACAGUCCAAUCGAGUUUCAUUAAACAUGCUGAAUACUACUUCGACUAAGCCAUUUCAGAAAAGAAGCAAACCAAAUGUUAUCAAUUCGAAUAUCCAAGUAGAUCUCAACACGACUUCAUCCUUUCUCGAUUUCGAAUUCAAACCAGCAUACAAGACACUAAUCAAAUUGGCGAACGACAGGUAUCACUGAUCGAUCAGUUACACAACAAACAAAGUUCAGGAACGUAGUAAGAUCGAACUAAGCCAACAACGAACUUAAUUUCCAAAACAGAAACACGAUUCAUAUCAAAGCAAAACACAGUAUCGAUUCCAAAUAAGUCGCGACUAAACGGACUCUUUAACAUAUUGCAAACUAACUAGGCUCUCAUCAUAUUUUCAAUAACACCAAAGCGAAACAAGAGAAACAAACGAACCUGGAAAUUAAGCUUUCAAUUAAUGUUGUUGGUGUCGAUUACAACAGAAGAAGAUUCAGCGAUGAACUUGAGAGAUAAAACUGCUACUGAAGAUCCGAAAUAAACAAUGAAGCGACGAAGCAGGAAAACAGCUCAAGGAACGCGAACACGAACACCUCGACUGGCGAACAAUUCUUCAGCACUCAACAACGCUUCAAUCGAAUUCCAUAGUUCAAUACCAAAACCAAAAGAAGAAAACUUAAAAUAUUUUUAGGAGUUGUUUCUGUUUUUCGAAAUGAAACAAAGAUUUCAACCAAAAAUGAAGCUAACACCUCUUUUUUUCUUUUCUGGGAUCCCAAUCGAACGAAAAUUGAAAAAAACAAACAAACUUAAAGAACCUAGAAUCAACCCCCAAUUUUUUUUCUCCAACCUUUUUCUCUCUAAUUUCUCUCCGAAAAUUAUCUAUCUAUAAGAAGCCUAGAAGCUUCCCCUUCCUUUGCAAGAAAUCUCCAAAAGAAACCUCUAAAAAAAAUCCGGAAAUCCUCCAAAAAUAUCCAAACCUUCUGAUUAUCUGAGGCGAAUGAUUUUGGGAGAAAUAGAAGGUCAAAAUUGAUUCAUAAUCAAUCUAUAUCUCCCAUUCAUACAAAAAUCACUCUCAUAUCCGCGUGAAAAUGAACGAGAAUGUUCAGGUCGUUGUAGAUUUGGAUGACGUAGAAGGAGUAUGAGAGGAGGGGACCAUGAGGGGGACCAUGUAAUGAUUUGGGGAAGAUUUUCGGUUGUUUGGGGAGUGGUUUUGCGGGCAGAAGCGGAGAUGGCAAAAGGAAAGAUGAUUGCUUGACUGAUUCUCCCAUGUCUACUGUUUCUUCCUUACCUUCUGGAGAAAAUGAUGUUCUUUCUGAUUCUCCUUC
Molecule: long non-coding RNA, 2615 nt
Filed under: Nicotiana benthamiana
Lineage: Eukaryota; Viridiplantae; Streptophyta; Magnoliopsida; Solanales; Solanaceae
Description: long non-coding RNA (NBEN_LNC004316)
Source: RNAcentral